UUUAUGGAGAGUUUGAUCCUGGCUCAGGAUGAACGCUGGCGGCGUGCCUAAUACAUGCAAGUCGAGCGAACGGACGAGAAGCUUGCUUCUCUGAUGUUAGCGGCGGACGGGUGAGUAACACGUGGAUAACCUACCUAUAAGACUGGGAUAACUUCGGGAAACCGGAGCUAAUACCGGAUAAUAUUUUGAACCGCAUGGUUCAAAAGUGAAAGACGGUCUUGCUGUCACUUAUAGAUGGAUCCGCGCUGCAUUAGCUAGUUGGUAAGGUAAUGGCUUACCAAGGCAACGAUGCAUAGCCGACCUGAGAGGGUGAUCGGCCACACUGGAACUGAGACACGGUCCAGACUCCUACGGGAGGCAGCAGUAGGGAAUCUUCCGCAAUGGGCGAAAGCCUGACGGAGCAACGCCGCGUGAGUGAUGAAGGUCUUCGGAUCGUAAAACUCUGUUAUUAGGGAAGAACAUAUGUGUAAGUAACUGUGCACAUCUUGACGGUACCUAAUCAGAAAGCCACGGCUAACUACGUGCCAGCGUAAACGCGGUAAUACGUAGGUGGCAAGCGUUAUCCGGAAUUAUUGGGCGUAAAGCGCGCGUAGGCGGUUUUUUAAGUCUGAUGUGAAAGCCCACGGCUCAACCGUGGAGGGUCAUUGGAAACUGGAAAACUUGAGUGCAGAAGAGGAAAGUGGAAUUCCAUGUGUAGCGGUGAAAUGCGCAGAGAUAUGGAGGAACACCAGUGGCGAAGGCGACUUUCUGGUCUGUAACUGACGCUGAUGUGCGAAAGCGUGGGGAUCAAACAGGAUUAGAUACCCUGGUAGUCCACGCCGUAAACGAUGAGUGCUAAGUGUUAGGGGGUUUCCGCCCCUUAGUGCUGCAGCUAACGCAUUAAGCACUCCGCCUGGGGAGUACGACCGCAAGGUUGAAACUCAAAGGAAUUGACGGGGACCCGCACAAGCGGUGGAGCAUGUGGUUUAAUUCGAAGCAACGCGAAGAACCUUACCAAAUCUUGACAUCCUUUGACAACUCUAGAGAUAGAGCCUUCCCCUUCGGGGGACAAAGUGACAGGUGGUGCAUGGUUGUCGUCAGCUCGUGUCGUGAGAUGUUGGGUUAAGUCCCGCAACGAGCGCAACCCUUAAGCUUAGUUGCCAUCAUUAAGUUGGGCACUCUAAGUUGACUGCCGGUGACAAACCGGAGGAAGGUGGGGAUGACGUCAAAUCAUCAUGCCCCUUAUGAUUUGGGCUACACACGUGCUACAAUGGACAAUACAAAGGGCAGCGAAACCGCGAGGUCAAGCAAAUCCCAUAAAGUUGUUCUCAGUUCGGAUUGUAGUCUGCAACUCGACUACAUGAAGCUGGAAUCGCUAGUAAUCGUAGAUCAGCAUGCUACGGUGAAUACGUUCCCGGGUCUUGUACACACCGCCCGUCACACCACGAGAGUUUGUAACACCCGAAGCCGGUGGAGUAACCUUUUAGGAGCUAGCCGUCGAAGGUGGGACAAAUGAUUGGGGUGAAGUCGUAACAAGGUAGCCGUAUCGGAAGGUGCGGCUGGAUCACCUCCUUU
RNAcentral lists this ribosomal RNA (1554 nucleotides) under Staphylococcus aureus. Its description in RNAcentral is "16S ribosomal RNA". It matches the Rfam family "Bacterial small subunit ribosomal RNA". The record is from RNAcentral. Lineage: Bacteria; Bacillati; Bacillota; Bacilli; Caryophanales; Staphylococcaceae.